Transfer RNA from Felis catus (domestic cat), 85 nucleotides. It matches the Rfam family "tRNA". Rfam says of the family: Transfer RNA (tRNA) molecules are approximately 80 nucleotides in length. Their secondary structure includes four short double-helical elements and three loops (D, anti-codon, and T loops). The record is from Rfam. NCBI's taxonomy places the organism in Eukaryota, Metazoa, Chordata, Mammalia, Carnivora, Felidae.
GCCUGGGUGGCUCAGUCAGUUGAGCAUCUGACUUCAGCUCAGGUCAUGAUCUCAUGGUCUGCGAGUUUGAGCCCCGCAUCGGGCU